This 84-nucleotide microRNA precursor is filed under the name Nelumbo nucifera (sacred lotus). RNAcentral's name for it is "MIR319 microRNA precursor family". It matches the Rfam family "MIR319 microRNA precursor family". Lineage: Eukaryota; Viridiplantae; Streptophyta; Magnoliopsida; Proteales; Nelumbonaceae. The record is from Rfam by way of RNAcentral.
CAGAAAUGGAAGCUCCUUCCAGCCCAAAACAGUGUAUCCUUACUUUGAUCCCUUGUUUUGGACUGAAGGGAGCUCCUAAUUCUU